UUCUGGUUGAUCCUGCCAGACCUGACUGCUAUCGGAUUGAUACUAAGCCAUGCGAGUCAUUGUAGUAAUACAAGGCAUACGGCUCAGUAACGCGUAGUCAACCUAACCUAUGGACGGGAAUAACCUCGGGAAACUGAGUAUAAUUCCCGAUAGAACAUUAUGCCUGGAAUGGUUUAUGUUCCAAAUGAUUUAUCGCCGUAGGAUGGGACUGCGGCCUAUCAGUUUGUUGGUGAGGUAAUGGCCCACCAAGACUAUUACAGGUACGGGCUCUGAGAGGAGUAGCCCGGAGAUGGGUACUGAGACACGGACCCAGGCCCUAUGGGGCGCAGCAGGCGAGAAAACUUUGCAAUGUGCGAAAGCACGACAAGGUUAAUCCGAGUGGUUUCUGCUAAAGGAACCUUUUGUUAGUCCUAGAAACACUAACGAAUAAGGGGUGGGCAAGUUCUGGUGUCAGCCGCCGCGGUAAAACCAGCACCUCAAGUGGUCAGGAUGAUUAUUGGGCCUAAAGCAUCCGUAGCCGGCUCUGUAAGUUUUCGGUUAAAUCUGUACGCUCAACGUACAGGCUGCCGGGAAUACUGCAGAGCUAGGGAGUGGGAGAGGUAGACGGUACUCGGGAGGAAGGGGUAAAAUCCUUUGAUCUCUCGAUGACCACCUGUGGCGAAGGCGGUCUACCAGAACACGUCCGACGGUGAGGGAUGAAAGCUGGGGGAGCAAACCGGAUUAGAUACCCGGGUAGUCCCAGCUGUAAACUAUGCAAACUCAGUGAUGCAUUGACUUGUGGUCAAUGCAGUGCUGCAGGGAAGCCGUUAAGUUUGCCGCCUGGGAAGUACGUACGCAAGUAUGAAACUUAAAGGAAUUGGCGGGGGAGCACCACAAGGGGUGAAGCCUGCGGUUCA
RNAcentral lists this ribosomal RNA (896 nucleotides) under uncultured archaeon. RNAcentral describes it as "bacterial SSU rRNA". It matches the Rfam family "Archaeal small subunit ribosomal RNA", at positions 1 to 904 of the family's 1478-position model. The record is from RNAcentral.